AGAAAGAUAAGCUAAUAAAAGCUAUUAGGUUCAUACCCUAAAUAUAGAAUUAAUAAUCUUCUUUUUA
Molecule: transfer RNA, 67 nt
Filed under: Maiestas dorsalis
Lineage: Eukaryota; Metazoa; Arthropoda; Insecta; Hemiptera; Cicadellidae
Description: tRNA-Met
Source: RNAcentral